ACGCUGGCGGCAUGCUUUACACAUGCAAGUCGAACGGUAACAGGCCGCAAGGUGCUGACGAGUGGCGAACGGGUGAGUAAUGCAUCGGAACGUGCCCAGUCGUGGGGGAUAACGCAGCGAAAGCUGCGCUAAUACCGCAUACGAUCUAUGGAUGAAGCGGGGGACCGUAAGGCCUCGCGCGAUUGGAGCGGCCGAUGUCAGAUUAGCUAGUUGGUGGGGUAAAGGCUCACCAAGGCGACGAUCUGUAGCUGGUCUGAGAGGACGACCAGCCACACUGGAACUGAGACACGGUCCAGACUCCUACGGGAGGCAGCAGUGGGGAAUUUUGGACAAUGGGCGCAAGCCUGAUCCAGCAAUGCCGCGUGCAGGAAGAAGGCCUUCGGGUUGUAAACUGCUUUUGUACGGAACGAAACGGCGAGCUCUAAUACAGUUUGCUAAUGACGGUACCGUAAGAAUAAGCACCGGCUAACUACGUGCCAGCAGCCGCGGUAAUACGUAGGGUGCAAGCGUUAAUCGGAAUUACUGGGCGUAAAGCGUGCGCAGGCGGUUUUGUAAGACAGUCGUGAAAUCCCCGGGCUCAACCUGGGAAUUGCGAUUGUGACUGCAAAGCUGGAGUGCGGCAGAGGGGGAUGGAAUUCCGCGUGUAGCAGUGAAAUGCGUAGAUAUGCGGAGGAACACCGAUGGCGAAGGCAAUCCCCUGGGCCUGCACUGACGCUCAUGCACGAAAGCGUGGGGAGCAAACAGGAUUAGAUACCCUGGUAGUCCACGCCCUAAACGA
Molecule: ribosomal RNA, 778 nt
Filed under: uncultured beta proteobacterium
Lineage: Bacteria; Pseudomonadati; Pseudomonadota; Betaproteobacteria
Description: bacterial SSU rRNA
Rfam family: Bacterial small subunit ribosomal RNA
Source: RNAcentral